GCUCUCACCGGGGUCGAGCCGCGGCGAGGGAACGGAUCGGAGACGCUGCGCCUGCUCAGAAGGUAGCGCAGCGGGGAAAGGCGGGAGAGCGUUAACUUCUGAGCCUGCGCGGUGGGAGUUGCUCAAGCAGGUGGUAGCGACUUGGCUUCCGGGCAGCGGGUAAAGGAAAUGCCUCAGGCCAGAAGAAGCAGUGGCAGCCUCUCACCUGCAGUGGGAUCUGUCUCAACUCCCAUUCCGUCUCCAGAGCCAAAGUUUGGAGGGAACGUGAGCUCGGGUCAGG
RNAcentral lists this long non-coding RNA (280 nucleotides) under Homo sapiens (human). RNAcentral describes it as "HSALNT0290568". The record is from RNAcentral. Lineage: Eukaryota; Metazoa; Chordata; Mammalia; Primates; Hominidae.